GGUCUUAUAGUCAACUAUGAUUUUAAAUUGCAAAUUUAAAGGUGGGGAGUUCCCUAAGGCUU
This 62-nucleotide transfer RNA is filed under the name Melanophila acuminata. Its description in RNAcentral is "tRNA-Cys". The record is from RNAcentral. Lineage: Eukaryota; Metazoa; Arthropoda; Insecta; Coleoptera; Buprestidae.